CUCUCCCUCAUCUUCCUUAUUCUUCCUUGACUUCUUGGGCUUUCCCUUCUCUCUCUCCCUGAUCCAGAAACCCAACUCAAUGUUUUUGUUAUGACUGUAACUGUACCAGCCACCAGGUUUUGGUCAAACAAAAAAGGACCGAAGUGUUUAUUUCAUCGGAUUAUCAUGUAAGGGACUCUGGAGUUGGGAAUUACUGCCACUCAGCUCAUAUUCACAGUGACCCACAUAGAGAAUUUGUGUUUUGAAGCUUAGAUUUGGCCAUGGAGAAACUUCCUGAUGAAGAAACUACAUUAAGCUAUGGUAGAUCAGCUUGUAAAAAUCAAGAAAGAUGAGGGAGAGAGAGGCAGAGUGGGUAUGCGAUGGUGGGUAGGAGGCGCUCUACGCAGAUGAUACAGGUCUUUGUUUUUUUUUUUUUUGGAUUUUAAUUUUUAAAAUUUUUAAAAUAUAAUAUAUUUUAUUUAAAGCCACGUGGAUGUAUACUAUUGAAUUUGUGGGCUCCA
This is a non-coding RNA of Prunus mume (Japanese apricot), 500 nucleotides long. The record is from RefSeq and is a predicted model, not a curated record. NCBI's taxonomy places the organism in Eukaryota, Viridiplantae, Streptophyta, Magnoliopsida, Rosales, Rosaceae.